UCCUGGAUAGCUCACUUGGUAGAGCAGGAGACUCUUAAUUCCAAGGUCACAGGUUCAAUCCCCAAGUUGGGCA
This is a non-coding RNA of Podarcis lilfordi (Lilford's wall lizard), 73 nucleotides long. Lineage: Eukaryota; Metazoa; Chordata; Lepidosauria; Squamata; Lacertidae. The record is from the annotation of a GenBank genome assembly.